AAUUGUAUCUCCUGUCAUGUUUUUGUUGAGAAAAACAAGCUCAGUAAACUAUACUUGUUUAUACACACCAGUUUAAAUGAUGGAAUGCCCCAUGCUUCAGCUAGCAAAGUCUUUCUCAGAUGCCAUGUUUGUUGUUUACAGAAGCAUCUCAGGGAUUACGUUGCUUCGGGGAUGCUGCUUUCUGACGAGCUAUACAUAUACGAGAGUAAAGUGUACACCACUUAUCCAGUGCAUUUAAACAGGAACCCAGCUUUCUCACAGGGUCGGAAGGCUCACUGCCAUCUGCUGGGGGGAGGAGCGAGCUGUCGUCCACCAGAGGGCGGAGGAGCGGUUGAGGACUGGGCGACAGCAUGUCUGGGAGAGGGAAAGGGUUUCCAGGAGGCUAGGUGAACCACCGGCUAACAGAAUGGCCAGCGGGAGAGUGAAAUAAAGGGGAGCCGGAGACACAGAGCAGUUCAACAGAGAGAUAGA
Long non-coding RNA from Xyrauchen texanus (razorback sucker), 471 nucleotides. RefSeq lists it as uncharacterized. The record is from RefSeq and is a predicted model, not a curated record. The transcript has 3 exons. Lineage: Eukaryota; Metazoa; Chordata; Actinopteri; Cypriniformes; Catostomidae.